This is a non-coding RNA of Camellia sinensis, 566 nucleotides long. The record is from RefSeq and is a predicted model, not a curated record. Lineage: Eukaryota; Viridiplantae; Streptophyta; Magnoliopsida; Ericales; Theaceae.
GAUUGGCACCGGGAUAUCCAGAUCAACGCCUGACUAAUCCCAAGGGGUGCAUAAGCUCUCGGCAUGGAGUUUUCUGCAAGUACACCAUAGUUAAUUCAAGGGUUUUUUUCUAGUCCGAUGGCCCCAAGGAAGUGAUGGCACUAUUUGGGAGGAAUAAUUAAAAGUCAUGUAGCCACAGAAGAAUAUUACUGAAAUUGAUAAAAAGAUUUACAUCAAUUCCUAUCACCUUCUCAGUGGCAAUUAUACUCUUGCGCAUGACACAUAGGCUUGCUUCUUACUCUGGAUGUUGCUGAUACUAGCGCAUGUUCCUAUUAUGUGUUAGUUGGUGGAUCUCAGCAGUGAAACAAUUUUUUGCCCCAUUUUGUGCAAGGAAAUUAUAGUUAAUUUUGUUUGGUUGUAGAGAUGGAGGGCAAUCUCAUUUGCAGCAUUGGUUUAUGCUUUCCAAACAUCAUUGUAAUCAAUUUUAUAGGCCUAAUUGACUUGGUUGAGUGGAGAAAACCGAUGUAAAACCACCUUUUGCUGAGAUGCUUUGAUUCUUUAGUAUGUAGAUAGAUGUGUUUUACUUA